RNAcentral lists this signal recognition particle RNA (285 nucleotides) under Oidiodendron maius Zn. RNAcentral's name for it is "Fungal signal recognition particle RNA". It matches the Rfam family "Fungal signal recognition particle RNA". Lineage: Eukaryota; Fungi; Ascomycota; Leotiomycetes; Myxotrichaceae. The record is from Rfam by way of RNAcentral.
CGGCUGUCAUGGUCGUCAAGUAGGAAGACCCUGCAAUACCAUACACGCGCCCGCAUUCUCGUCUUUCACAAGUCGCCCGGCAGCAGCGCCCAGUCCGAACAGAGCGGUGGCCCCCCACUCGUGCAGGUAACUCACGAUGCUGGACUAAGGGGCCUUAAGCAAUGGAGAUGAUUUCUCGAGGGAGGCCUCACUCUGCAGAGAGCUCUCCACCGCGCUGUGGCGGUGCCGGAUUACGUUGGCUGUGGGUUGCGCGCGCGGUGUGGUGGUGGGAGUCGACCUUUUUUU